AGAUAUGAUUUGGGCAGCGGAGAAGUGGUAAUAAUAGCGAAUCAUACAAAAGUGGACGACGGCCUCUGGCAUAGAGCGCGCGCUACAAGGAACCGUCAAGCGGGCGUACUGGAAGUGGACGGUCUGGGCUCCGUGGGCAAGAUGUCGCCCGGAAAACUCAAACAACUAAAUACUGAAAAUGGACUUUAUAUAGGAGGGUUGCCAUCAAUAGAAUUGAACACGAUGGGAAAAUAUAAAAGUGGUUUAAUAGGAUGUGUGUCGCAAAUAUCAUUGAGUGGAGAUUUUGAUAUACCACUGUCAUUGUCAAAACUUCCCCACACAAUAACAAACAACGUGGGGAGAUGUAAUCCAUAAUAAAUGUUCAUUUAAAUGAACUCGAGUUCAUUUAACAUAUCCAGGUUUAUUUUGUACCAGCGAAGUUCAUUUAUUUUACCUAUGAAAUGUAGAAUUUGUGUGCAAAUGUUAGAUUGUAUUAUUUAUAAGCGCAUUUAAUUUUUAUACGAAAAACAAUUUAAAUUUAAAGAGUUUUAUAACUCUGAAAACAUAUCAAAUUAACAUCGUUGGCAAUAACACUAUAAUAUGUCAUUUGAAUAAUGGUGUUGCCAUAAAAUGAACUAUUUAAAACCAAACUAGUCAAUUUAGAAAAUAAGUAAGUUAACAAUCCUUUUGUCGUUUCCGUAAUCUUUUACGAUUUCCUUCUAUAUCUUUCUUUUGUUGUCUUUUAUUUCCAUGAUAAUGGAUAAAGUUUUCGAAGUGCUUUACUAUCUAGUAAAUAUGAAAAGGACUAAUUGUAAUGUUAUACUAAAACAUAGUCGUACAAGUACGUUUGCACGCGUAAUCAUUUCAAGGCCAGGGUCGGAUUAAUGAAAUACAAAAAUAUCAACUAGUACCAUUUAAUU
Molecule: long non-coding RNA, 899 nt
Organism: Papilio polytes (common Mormon)
Lineage: Eukaryota; Metazoa; Arthropoda; Insecta; Lepidoptera; Papilionidae
Exons: 3
Source: RefSeq, a predicted model, not a curated record